Mycena metata is the source of this 95-nucleotide non-coding RNA. NCBI's taxonomy places the organism in Eukaryota, Fungi, Basidiomycota, Agaricomycetes, Agaricales, Mycenaceae. The record is from the annotation of a GenBank genome assembly.
CACUUGAUAGCACAUGGUGUGCACUUGCUUCAGUUAUAAGAGCACAGCUGAGGUUGAGCAAGCAAGAGGCCCCGGUUUGAUUCCGGGUUGAGUGA